CAGAGGUUACUGCUAKCRMGRKUCGACUAAGCCAUGCGAGUUGAAUGUUCUUCGUGAACAUGGCGGACUGCUCAGUAACACGUGGACAACCUACCCUUGGGUCCGGCAUAAUCCUGGGAAACUGGGAAUAAUUCCGGAUAGGUCACCGAUGCUGGAAUGCGCGGUGGCCGAAAGCUCCGGCGCCCGAGGAUGGGUCUGCGGCCUAUCAGGGUUGUAGUGGGUGUAACGUACCUACUAGCCUACGACGGGUACGGGUUGUGAGAGCAAGAGCCCGGAGAUGGAUUCUGAGACACGAAUCCAGGCCCUACGGGGUGCAGCAGGCGCGAAAACUUUACAAUGCGGGAAACCGUGAUAAGGGGAUCUCGAGUGCCAGCAUAUAAUGUUGGCUGUCCAGAUGCCUAAAAAGCAUCUGUUAGCAAGGGCCGGGCAAGACCGGUGCCAGCCGCCGCGGUAACACCGGCGGCCCGAGUGGUAACCGCUAUUAUUGGGUCUAAAGGGUCUGUAGCCGGCCAGGUAAGUCCCUUGGGAAAUCUGGCAGCUCAACUGUCAGGCUGCUAGGGGAUACUGUUUGGCUUGGGACCGGGAGAGGUGAGAGGUACCUUGGGGGUAGGGGUGAAAUCUUGUGAUCCUCGAGGGACCACCAGUGGCGAAGGCGUCUCACCAGAACGGGUCCGACGGUAAGGGACGAAAGCUAGGGGCACGAACCGGAUUAGAUACCCGGGUAGUCCUAGCCGUAAACGAUGCUCGCUAGGUGUCAGUCACGGUGCGACCGUGAUUGGUGCCGUAGGGAAGCCGUGAAGCGAGCCACCUGGGAAGUAUGGCCGCAAGGCUGAAACUUAAAGGAAUUGGCGGGGGAGCACUACMASGGGUGGAGCCUGCGGUUUAUUG
RNAcentral lists this ribosomal RNA (888 nucleotides) under uncultured Methanosaeta sp. RNAcentral describes it as "bacterial SSU rRNA". It matches the Rfam family "Archaeal small subunit ribosomal RNA", at positions 18 to 907 of the family's 1478-position model. The record is from RNAcentral. Lineage: Archaea; Methanobacteriati; Methanobacteriota; Methanomicrobia; Methanotrichales; Methanotrichaceae.